Molecule: long non-coding RNA, 2079 nt
Organism: Apodemus sylvaticus (European woodmouse)
Lineage: Eukaryota; Metazoa; Chordata; Mammalia; Rodentia; Muridae
Exons: 3
Source: RefSeq, a predicted model, not a curated record
GGAAGGACAACUUGUUCCUUGUAACCUUCAGUGUUGGACAACUUCAGCUGAAGGCAGCUGUGUGCUCCUGCCCCUGGCUCUUGCAGAACCUUCUCUUGCCCAGAGGGACUUAUUCUGCCGGAUGCUGUCACAUGUGUCACUGCCUGAGCCCCGAGAGAGGCGAUGUGGAGCCUUCUUCUAGCCAGGCCUGGGCCUGGGCCUGUGUGUGAGCACAGAAGGCUGGCUGGUCAUCCACUGCCGCGAUGUGAAUCCAGUCACAUGUACCGGAUCAGCACUCACUGCACACUUAGACACAGUCGAAUCCUUGGCAGCCAAGGGAUGGAAUUACUGAUGUGCCUUUCCUUGCUGCCAACCUCCAGCAAGUGUUCCCAUGGCCUCUGCCUCUGGGUUUUCACUCUCUGGAAGCAGUCUGGAAGAAGGCACCGGUGACCACUGCAGACUCAUGGAGAGAUCCAGCCACCAUCUUGUAACGAGAGGCCACGUGACUAGGAGGUAGACCAGAGGGAGCCACUGCUGUAGCAGGAAGCAGAUUGCAAGUGUCUCGAGGUACCUUGUCAUCUGACCUGAUUCCGGCCCAUCCCUGGAGUCAGCUUGCUGGCACCCAGUGUUUUGCCAAGUGGCCACCUCAGAGCAGCUUCCUUGGAGAGCCUUCAGGAAAUAUGAACUCCAGUGAAGGACGGCUUAGACCCAUUUAUCUUCUCUGAAGAGACGGGGGAUCCUGGGACAAGCUGGCUAGCUAGGCUAGCCAAAUUGCAAGCUUUGAAGUCAAGGGAGAUCCCUGCCUCAGUAUAUAAGGUGAAGACUGAUGUUAAUCUUUGACCUCCACAUGAACUUUCAUAUACACACAUACCACCUACACACAUUUCAUCACAGACAUAAACAUGAACACACACAUAUAUAUACACACACGCACAUAUAUACACACGCACAGAGAGAAGCAUACCACACAUAUACACAUGCAAAAAAAAAUUUUUUCAUUUAAGUAAAGCUGUCAAGCCAAUCAGAAGACAAAGGUAAGGAGAAGGUUGGUUGUCUCUGUUCCUAAGAGACGCUGGGUGCAGUGUAAUACCCAGGAGCUAGGGGUUUGACAGCGCCAUAUUGCUCUCAACUAAACUGCUGACCCAAGGGCUGGUAGCCAUGGCCCAGUGGCAGAACACUCCUCAGCAUGCACAGGGCUCUGUCCCUAAUGCUGCACACAAACAGAAAUGACAAGAACCAGCCUGGUGGUGCUGGUAGCACAUGCCCUUAAUCCCAGCACUCAGGAGGCAGAGGUAGGCUAGCCUGGUCUACAGAUAGAGUUCCAAGAUAUCCAAGAAACUCUGCUUUGAAAAACAAAACCAAAAAAAACAAAAAACAAAAAACCCAAACAAAACAAAAUAAAACAAAACAAAAGAGAGAGAGAGAGAGAGAGAGAGACAGAGAGACAGAGAGAGACAGAGAGAGGCAGAGACAGAGACAGAGAGAGACAGAGACAGAGAGAGAAAAGCAAAAAAGAAAGAAACAAAGAAAAAGAAAAGAAAAGAAAGAAGAAAAGAAAUGACAAGAACCACUAAAUCCCCAGACAUUUGGAAACAAGGGAUGCUGUGGUUUGUCCAUUUUGAAAACUCACCAUGACCAUGAAUCCUUAUUCUGAUCAACAGAACUGUUUUUGCGGGUAGAGUGUAGAGGCUGGGGGAUACAUACUUACUGUCUCUAGAGCUGUGAUGCCCUGUGCCACCAUAGGACUCUGCCGGAUGGAAGGCAGAUAUGGCCUCCUGACCUUGGACCACAACAGUGAGUCAAAACACAGAUCUUUUCCUGAUCCCGUUGUAAAGUCGGCAUUACAGAGCUUCUCUGCGCACAAGUCCGUAAACUUCGUUGUUAGUGCUCCCACCCCACUGCCCUCCUCCUUCCUGUCCUCUCGCUACCUUUCUUCCUCCCCAGAUAGUCCUCCCUUCUGCUUUCACGUCUCACCCGUCUCAGCUCUCGAUGAGCUGAUUCAGUGGAGAAAGGCGUGGCUGAUGGCCUGCAGCUGAUACACAGGACAAAAGGAGAGAAUGACUCCUACAAGUGUCAUCUGAUCUCUAAGGUGUGUCAGCA